RNAcentral lists this ribosomal RNA (1028 nucleotides) under Nitrosococcus watsonii C-113. RNAcentral describes it as "bacterial SSU rRNA". It matches the Rfam family "Bacterial small subunit ribosomal RNA", at positions 49 to 1064 of the family's 1533-position model. Lineage: Bacteria; Pseudomonadati; Pseudomonadota; Gammaproteobacteria; Chromatiales; Chromatiaceae. The record is from RNAcentral. RNAcentral also lists the same sequence under 1 other name.
UAACACAUGCAAGUCGAACGGCAGCAGCACUUAAGCUUGCUUAGGUGGCUGGCGAGUGGCGGACGGGUGAGUAACGCGUGGGAAUCUAGCCUCUAGAGGGGGAUAACUCGGGGAAACUCGGGCUAAUACCGCAUAAUCUCUAAGGAGGAAAGCGGGGGACCGAAAGGCCUCGCGCUGGAGGAUGAGCCUGCGUCCGAUUAGCUAGUUGGUGGGGUAAGGGCCUACCAAGGCGAUGAUCGGUAGCUGGUCUGAGAGGACGAUCAGCCACACUGGGACUGAGACACGGCCCAGACUCCUACGGGAGGCAGCAUUGGGGAAUAUUGGACAAUGGGGGCAACCCUGAUCCAGCAAUGCCGCGUGGGUGAAGAAGGCUUUCGGGUUGUAAAGCCCUUUCAGUAGGGAAGAAAAGCGAUGUGUGAAUAGCCCAUCGUGUUGACGUUACCUACAGAAGAAGCACCGGCUAACUCCGUGCCAGCAGCCGCGGUAAUACGGAGGGUGCGAGCGUUAAUCGGAAUUACUGGGCGUAAAGGGCGCGUAGGCGGUUUGGUAAGUUGGGUGUGAAAGCCCCGGGCUCAACCUGGGAAUGGCACUUGAUACUGCCUGGCUAGAGUAUGGUAGAGGGAGGCGGAAUUUCCGGUGUAGCGGUGAAAUGCGUAGAUAUCGGAAGGAACACCAGUGGCGAAGGCGGCCUCCUGGACCACUACUGACGCUGAGGUGCGAAAGCGAGGGGAGCAAACAGGAUUAGAUACCCUGGUAGUCCACGCCCUAAACGAUGAGAACUAGACGUUGGGAGGGAUAGCCUUUCAGUGUUGCAGCUAACGCGUUAAGUUCUCCGCCUGGGGAGUACGGCCGCAAGGUUGAAACUCAAAUGAAUUGACGGGGGCCCGCACAAGCGGUGGAGCAUGUGGUUUAAUUCGAUGCAACGCGAAGAACCUUACCUGGCCUUGACAUCCCCGGAACUUUGCUGAGAGGCGAAGGUGCCUUCGGGAGCCGGGAGACAGGUGCUGCAUGGCUGUCGUCAGCUCGUA